Sinocyclocheilus anshuiensis is the source of this 560-nucleotide long non-coding RNA. RefSeq lists it as uncharacterized. The transcript is spliced from 3 exons. The record is from RefSeq and is a predicted model, not a curated record. NCBI's taxonomy places the organism in Eukaryota, Metazoa, Chordata, Actinopteri, Cypriniformes, Cyprinidae.
CCACACACCUGCGCUGUGCCAGCCCCCCUCACGCUCUACCCUGCGUUUCUCUAAAAUCAGCAUGAGACGGUCUGAUCUGGGCUGGGCUGCGUAGCCCAACUGUACCUGCCACAUGCCCAUCCUCAGCGUGGCUCUCCACUGAGCACUAUGAAUAGAAACUUAGCGAACGAGAGAUAAGCAGUCGGCUUUGGCACAUGCCACACUCCUAGCAGCACUUUGGGGUUGCCAUGGAAACAGGGACGAGUACAGCUAACGCUGCCCCAACAUCUUCCUAUCAUGCCCACUCAAGAUCAUUAACAUUGCACGUUUAUUUCCUAACCUCCAUGACAGAUUUCUGCGUUGGUUCACCUCUGAUCACGCUGUCCAGGCCGGAGUGCCCAUCUGGAGGCCACACGGUCCAUCAACCCAGUCUCCUAUAUAAACCCGGUCAAGAGGAGAAUUGACCUAUCGUGCCCCACGGGUAGGACACACCAAUGUUUAAAACAGCUCACUCUCCAUUUCCUGUUCUCACAGCACCCAGCAGAGGAGACGGGAGCAGCUGUUGGAGCGGGUGGAGUGUG